CGCAUAAAUUUUAAGUUGUGUCGAACAAAAUGUGCCUCGUGAUACUGAUAAAUUCUUUCCUGACGAGAUACCAAAACAUUUUCCCCUCACAAUAUUUCAACAGUGAAGUCGCGUGCUCUAUUUUUUCCUGUCAGCUUUUUUGGGAUCUGAACAAGCGGUGGACAAUUCGUGAGUGAAUAAAUCUUUUGAGUCGGUUCUUUUCGGUUGAAACGGGCUAAAAACGGUUUGAAUCGGUUCUCUAUUAAAUAUGAAUCAUUUUAACAACUCAAGGAAUCGUUUGGAGCGGUGUUUCUCUCCCGCUAAAACAGUAAAACUUCCUUCAGGACGGAAGAGAGAAAAGAGCGCUGGAUUAAGUGAAUGUUAAUCGACAGUCAGAUGAAACAAAACCUGGAAAUAAGUUCAAAUCGUUUGACAGCGAUGUAGAAGAUCGUUAUUAAGUUCAACACUCGCACUUGCAGUUUGCCAACGAUUAACUUCAGGCAUGGAGUUACUUCAACCACUCGCAUAUCCAGGCGAAUCCAGCAGAAGGGUGUUUGUAAUUACUGUUUGAAGGAGAAAGACGAGGAUGGGGCGGUGUUUAUCACAACACACACUGGAGCCUCAGUGUCUUUCCUCUUCACUCUUUUCCUCCUUCAUUCUACUAUCUCUCCUGCGGAGUGGGCGUUAUGGUGGAUGGUGUCGGCAUACAGCUGUCAGAGACCCUGUAACGCCAUCAAACCCGACAUGACGUGAGGGACUGAAGCUGGUUGUGACAGCACCUGACAACUUCUGGAAAGCAGCAGACUCAUCAGCUACCAUGAGCCUCUGCCAAACACCAAUUCCCACCAGCGAGACGGCGAACCAGUUUCCUUUUUUCAUCACCGAAGAUUUCAUCGCAAGCUUACAUGGUAUUUAAAUUAAAUUAAUUUUUAAUCUCCAAAUCACUGAGCAAAUGUUGGGUUUUCAAGCAAAGACCUUUA
Long non-coding RNA from Megalobrama amblycephala (Wuchang bream), 959 nucleotides. RefSeq lists it as uncharacterized. NCBI's taxonomy places the organism in Eukaryota, Metazoa, Chordata, Actinopteri, Cypriniformes, Xenocyprididae. The transcript is spliced from 4 exons. The record is from RefSeq and is a predicted model, not a curated record.